AUGAACGCUGGCGGCGUGCCUAAUACAUGCAAGUCGAGCGAACAGAUGAGGAGCUUGCUCCUCUGACGUUAGCGGCGGACGGGUGAGUAACACGUGGAUAACCUACCUAUAAGACUGGGAUAACUACGGGAAACUGGAGUUAUUACCGGAUAAUAUAUUGAACCGCUGGUUUCAAUGGUUAAAGUUGGUUUUGUUGUCACUUAAAGAUGGACCCGCGCCGCAUUAGCUAGUUGGUAAGGUAACGGCUUACCAAGGCAACGAUGCGUAGCCGACCUGAGAGGGUGAUCGGCCACACUGGAACUGAGACACAGUACAGACUCCUACGGGAGGCAGCAGUAGGGAAUCUUACGCAAUGGGCGAGAGCCUGACGGAGCAACACCGCGUGAGUGAUGAAGGUCUUCGGAUCGUAAAACUCUGUUAUUAGGGAAGAACAAAUGUGUAAGUAACUAUGCACGUCUUGACGGUACCUGGUCAGAAAGCCACGGCUAACUACGUG
Molecule: ribosomal RNA, 496 nt
Filed under: uncultured bacterium
Lineage: Bacteria
Description: partial 16S ribosomal RNA
Rfam family: Bacterial small subunit ribosomal RNA
Source: RNAcentral